UGGGAGGUUUAGUUUUUAUAAAAUUAAGUAUUUAAGUUUUGAAUUUUUUUUUUAUAAAUUUAGUAUCCUAAGGUGUUUUUAUUGGACAUUUUCUUCACUGUUUAACUGGUCUCAGAGUUGUAGAUCAAUUUCUCUAAGACUCAUCUUAUCCCAAUGGGUGUUGAUCUAAUGGGGUAAGCAGUUUGCCACUUUCUUAUCUUGGUAUUAAGUUGGGC
This 215-nucleotide long non-coding RNA is filed under the name Gossypium raimondii (Peruvian cotton). RNAcentral describes it as "long non-coding RNA (GRAI_LNC008608)". Lineage: Eukaryota; Viridiplantae; Streptophyta; Magnoliopsida; Malvales; Malvaceae. The record is from RNAcentral.